AUGGCUCGGGCUGCGUUCGACCACUUCACUGCCACCAUUGGAUCCCAGUCCACGCGUGAUCACGCGCUCAACCUGUGCCUGUUCGAUCAACGCCGCUUCGACCUGCUACCGCUUGAUGAGCCUUUUUCCGAGGACGAGAUAUGGAAUGCAAUCAAGGCCAUGCCGCUUGGCAAGGCGCCGGGACCGGACGGCUUCACGGCGGAAUUCCUACGCUUGUGUUGGGCCAUCGUCAAAGAUGACAUAUGUGCCGCUUUCGACAAACUCUACACUAUGAACGGCAUGGGAUUU
This 288-nucleotide ribosomal RNA is filed under the name Triticum aestivum (bread wheat). Its description in RNAcentral is "partial small subunit ribosomal RNA". The record is from RNAcentral. Lineage: Eukaryota; Viridiplantae; Streptophyta; Magnoliopsida; Poales; Poaceae.